Molecule: non-coding RNA, 46 nt
Filed under: Schistosoma mansoni
Lineage: Eukaryota; Metazoa; Platyhelminthes; Trematoda; Strigeidida; Schistosomatidae
Source: RNAcentral
AUCCGGCUGACGAGUCCCAAAAUGGGACGAAACGUGCAUCCUGGAU